GAACAAUUGGCAGCAGCUGGGGCUGGUUUGCUCUCUCAAGGGGUUUUCCACGAGUUCUGGAAGAGAUUCCAGGAGAGAAUCCAGGAGCUCCUGGUCUGCUUUUCAUUUCCUCAGGAAGAGACGAAACUGACUUCAUGAGACACCCCCGACGAAAACAGAGGAGACUAAAUCAGGUGUGCAGCAUAAGUUACCAUGGCGACAUAACCCAGACCCUUGUCCGUGUGACUGAGCCGUGAUCGACUGCAACAACAACGACGUCUUUCACGCUCACAUUCCUCCAAACUUCACAUGAACCGGUUGAGACUCAGUUUACAGGUUUAUACACGGAAACAGAGAAACCUGUCCAGGCUGAAGUGAUGAAACAUCUGAGUUUCAACUGAGAGAAUCAGCUGAUCACAUGACGAACGUCCUCCUGAUACCAACUACAGCAACACACCGCUGCAGGCCAGACAACAACACCGUAACACACAAUACACACCGGGAAGCACUCGCUAACACACAGUGUUAAGGCUGCUCUGAGGGAGAAAGUCAGACCUUUGAAAACGAGAUCAGUUCAGAUCAUCGGCGGGAACUGAACUUCAGAUCUAUUUGCAGAUUUGUAUCUGGACUGUAUCUGCUCAUGGACUUCAGUCAGCUGUUGUGGAGGUCAGAGAGGUCGAGCUCACCGCCAGGAUCCAGUUUCCUCUUUCCUUUGUCACACAGUCUAAUUAAAGCCUGAGAUUCUGUCUGGAUGUGGUUUCUUAUCCAAUCUGACUCAAUGAUCUCAGCCACACUUUAAAUCUUUCUGUCAAGACUUGAACAAUUUAAAACACUUUAGAUUGUCCAAAUGUCUGAAGGUGACCCAGACGUCAGGAGUAUCCAAGGUGACGUAUGAAGUCAAAAACCCAAAUGUAUUCAGUUUUGGUUCUUUUUAUAUGACAAAGAGAAGGAGCAAAUCCUCACAUUUAA
This is a long non-coding RNA of Xiphias gladius (swordfish), 948 nucleotides long. RefSeq lists it as uncharacterized. Lineage: Eukaryota; Metazoa; Chordata; Actinopteri; Istiophoriformes; Xiphiidae. The transcript has 6 exons. The record is from RefSeq and is a predicted model, not a curated record.